This 552-nucleotide ribosomal RNA is filed under the name Trichoderma harzianum. RNAcentral's name for it is "eukaryotic LSU rRNA". The stretch from base 177 to 330 matches the Rfam family "5.8S ribosomal RNA". The record is from RNAcentral. Lineage: Eukaryota; Fungi; Ascomycota; Sordariomycetes; Hypocreales; Hypocreaceae.
UGUGACGUUACCAAACUGUUGCCUCGGCGGGAUCUCUGCCCCGGGUGCGUCGCAGCCCCGGACCAAGGCGCCCGCCGGAGGACCAACCAAAACUCUUAUUGUAUACCCCCUCGCGGGUUUUUUUUAUAAUCUGAGCCUUCUCGGCGCCUCUCGUAGGCGUUUCGAAAAUGAAUCAAAACUUUCAACAACGGAUCUCUUGGUUCUGGCAUCGAUGAAGAACGCAGCGAAAUGCGAUAAGUAAUGUGAAUUGCAGAAUUCAGUGAAUCAUCGAAUCUUUGAACGCACAUUGCGCCCGCCAGUAUUCUGGCGGGCAUGCCUGUCCGAGCGUCAUUUCAACCCUCGAACCCCUCCGGGGGGUCGGCGUUGGGGAUCGGCCCUCCCUUAGCGGGGUGGCCGUCUCCGAAAUACAGUGGCGGUCUCGCCGCAGCCUCUCCUGCGCAGUAGUUUGCACACUCGCAUCGGGAGCGCGGCGCGUCCACAGCCGUUAAACACCCAACUUCUGAAAUGUUGACCUCGGAUCAGGUAGGAAUACCCGCUGAACUUAAGCAUAUC